CUCCUACGGGGCGCAGCAGUCGGGAAUAUUGCGCAAUGGAGGAAACUCUGACGCAGUGACGCCGCGUAUAGGAAGAAGGUUUUCGGAUUGUAAACUAUUGUCAUUAGGGAAGAUAAAAGACUGUACCUAAGGAGGAAGCCCCGGCUAACUAUGUGCCAGCAGCCGCGGUAAUACAUAGGGGACAAGCGUUAUCCGGAUUUAUUGGGUGUAAAGGGCGUGUAGGCGGGAGCGCAAGUCAGAUGUGAAAACUCAGGGCUCAACCCUGAGCCUGCAUUUGAAACUGUGUUUCUUGAGUGCUUGAGAGG
RNAcentral lists this ribosomal RNA (305 nucleotides) under uncultured bacterium. RNAcentral describes it as "bacterial SSU rRNA". It matches the Rfam family "Bacterial small subunit ribosomal RNA", at positions 336 to 657 of the family's 1533-position model. The record is from RNAcentral.